Molecule: non-coding RNA, 560 nt
Organism: Nylanderia fulva
Lineage: Eukaryota; Metazoa; Arthropoda; Insecta; Hymenoptera; Formicidae
Source: RefSeq, a predicted model, not a curated record
UCCAGUGGAAAAAAAAAAACUAGAAAUUUUGUGAAAAGAAUAAUAAUCAGAUUAAACGAUGUACUUGAAAAAAUUAAAUAUGAAGAAAUUGAUGAUACAGACGAACUUAGAAUAUGUUUGCGACAAGAAGCUGCAAGAUGGGCAUGUUUUUUCGGUGAAAUCAAUUGUAUAAAAGAAGCCAAUAAUAAAUUAAAACAACAUCUCCAAGAUCCUAUAAAACACAGACUUUUGUCAUGGUGGACGGAAUGGACAUAUUGUAGAGGUUUGAUGAUAACUACGACGAAUGAAACCACUUUUAGAUCAGUGUAUAUCAUAGGAUUGAUGAAAAAUGACUUGAAAUUUUCAGAAUACUUGGCUUGCAUUAAAGAUACUGAUUUCAUCAAAAUCUAUUUAAGUUGUAAACAACACAAUAAUACAAAACAGGAAGAUCAAUUUUACGUUAACAGUUUCUUACAUUUUAUUACAAAGCAUGCGAAGAAUCCAAUUAUACUAACAUAUAUAUUAGAUCAUUUUAACGAAAUAAAACCAAAAAAUGUUAAUAUAAUUGCAGCAUUAAUUAU